Long non-coding RNA from Daphnia carinata, 859 nucleotides. RefSeq lists it as uncharacterized. NCBI's taxonomy places the organism in Eukaryota, Metazoa, Arthropoda, Branchiopoda, Diplostraca, Daphniidae. The record is from RefSeq and is a predicted model, not a curated record. The transcript is spliced from 3 exons.
UUUCUGGGAGGAAUUGCUGUGAAUUUCAAACGCCUUCUAAAUGCAGGAAUGGAUUUGUGUGACGAACGUUGGCAGAAAAGUGUGACUGGUACCCACCAACACGGCAGGCUAACGUAAAAUCAAAUGCGGUCGACCAAAGUACCGUAUUGGGGAUUAGCAACAUUACUAGGGAAGAAUCGAGACAGUUAUUAUCGCGUUCAUCGUGAUUUAUUUCCGAUUCCCUGGACUAUGCGACGGAACCAAUCGCGUCAUCCGAAUGUGAAGAGCUACAGUACACAUGUGCGGACACCUUCAUUAUUCAGCCGCCUCUAGUGGAUAAUGGGCAGCUGUGGUCUCGGACUAGUGACCAGGAAUGGAUUUGUGUGAACGAUCGACUGCUGCGUCUCCGAAAGGUCCACGGUCAUUUUCGUUGUAGUUACACAUUCAUAUUGUUUACAUCUUGGCCAGCAAACACUAGCACUUUUUAGGAAAUCAAAGAUUACCUGAUAUGUUAAAAAAAAACUUUAAAAAAUUUAAUAAAAAUUGGCGAAUGGUAAAAAUUAACCGGUACUGAAAAAGGGAAAUUGUUUUCAAGCAACUGAGAAGAUAAAAAGAAAACGUGAAAAUUUAAUUUAUGUAAUUUCUGUAAAUUUUAUCAGAGCCAUGGAAACUGAGUUGAACUUUGGACAUAUUACAAAUUAGUAUUAAUAAUAGAAAAUUGUAAAUUUAUUAAUAUUAUAUUACAAUUCAGUGUUAGCAAUAACAGUGGUAAGAUGUUGACUGUCAGUUGUUUCGAUGUCCGCAUUCCAUGUUUUACGAACCUUUGUCACAACUCACAAGGUAUCGUUUGCCAAGUUGUCAAAAUAUCCGAGGAAGAGAA